RNAcentral lists this long non-coding RNA (237 nucleotides) under Hordeum vulgare. RNAcentral's name for it is "long non-coding RNA (HVUL_LNC009361)". The record is from RNAcentral. Lineage: Eukaryota; Viridiplantae; Streptophyta; Magnoliopsida; Poales; Poaceae.
UUUUUUUUGUUUUUCCUUAUAUUUAUUUAUGUUAAAUUAGUUAGGUUAGUUUUUUAGUUUAUUAGGUUAGUUAGGCUAGUUAGUUAGGUUGUUAAAUUAGUUUAGUUUAGGUUUAGUUAGGUUAGUUUCCUGUUUAGUAAAGAAGAAAAGGAGAAGAAGAAGAAGGAGAAAGGAGAAGAAGAAGAAGGAGAAAGGAGAAGAAGAAGAAGGAGAAAGGAGAAGAAUAAGAAGAAGGAG